UUGAAUCAAUCUCACGGUUCUUCUUUGUUCUUUCUACUUAUCAUAAUGUUACUGUACAUUUUUCUCUUCUUCGAUUCAGUAAAUCAAUUCUAUCAAUAUACUCAUAAGCUCAUUGUACGUUAGUGUACGUUUCUCUCUUUUGUGUUGUUAGUGUACGAUUCUACAGAUCUUUUUAUUAUAGUUGUUAAAAAAUUAGGGAUGGCAAGUUUCCGAACUUCUUCUACGCCUUCUUUUGGGAAACUAGAGAAACAAUUCGAAGAAUUCCGACAUAGUUUAGAGGAGUUUGGGAGUAUAGGAAGCGGAUAUGCAUUGUUGUGAUGGAGAUAGAUUCAGUCACUCAGACGCAUAUAUGUCAGCCUUCUUCUCGUUCAACUGUCUUUCUAAGCUGAACGAGACAUGGGGAUAUGGGUUCUCUUUUCUCCUUUCUUGUCUCUUAGCUUAUUUUAGUUUGUUGAUUGAUUUUUUAUUGCAGGAGUUUUUCAUUCAAUUUGCAAAAUCACAAGGAAGAGCAUGAGUGUUUGAAGAUUUGAUAUGUUUAUUUCACAAUGAGUUAUUAGGUUCAGCUGAAUCUGUAACUUAUACUCUAGCUCGGUCCCUACUCGUGAUCUCUCGGGGCUGCGUGGGGGUGAGUUUUGUAGGUUGCAACUCUGGCUCCUAGUGUAUCGGCAAUGCAAGAGCUACAUUUUGAAGUAUUGAUGGUUCGAGCCAUUUUUUGUACAUUAAAUAAGCGCCAUGAUUCUGCUAUGGUAUUGAUACUUCUGAUGCAUUCGGAAACAGAGGUCAUAUUUGUGUAUCAGAAAUUGCUCGAAAUUUCUCAAGGAGCAUUAGCUCUCCUGGCUGGAAAGAAACACAAUCUGCCUCGUCUUGCUGAUCUUUCAAACUGAUGAAUUCCGUGUUGUUGAACACUAAAACCCUCGUGAUCACGAUUAUGAAAGUCUCCUCGGAAGUGGGAAUAGAAGUUUUUCUAUAAGAUGGUCGAGAACAUAAUUUGAUACUAUUAUUAUUAACUAUACUUAAUGUACAACAUUGCGACACAAAGGAGUUGUUUACAGAAACAAAGGUGCGUAUCUCAAUACCAUUGCCACUUAUUUUCUUCACAAGAUGAGUUUUCUCCCUGUUUAUCUUUUGAGCAUUCCAAUGUUUCACUAGAACGAUUGGUGCAUGAUUUGGGGUCUUGAACUGUUGGGUGGCACGAAUGUUUGUCUUAUAAAUGUCUUUCCAAAAGACAUUUGAAAACAUUUCGUUGCACAACUCCUACAAUUUCUAGAAAUUCAAUUUCAUUAUAUUACAUAUAGAUAAGCUUAUUAUCAAUUUAAGUUGAUCAGGUGUUCUGGAAAAAUUACACUUUUGUAAAUUGAGUUUCGAGAUGUCUGUGCUUCAUUUACUUUGAAUUUAGAUUAUCAAUGGACGUGUAUGUGUAAGUUGUUUUUUAGUUUGAGGUAUCAUGGACAUGAGGAGAAACCCAAUUUUGAAAUAUUUAUAUGAAAGUUUGUAUAUA
This is a long non-coding RNA of Solanum lycopersicum (tomato), 1498 nucleotides long. RefSeq lists it as uncharacterized. NCBI's taxonomy places the organism in Eukaryota, Viridiplantae, Streptophyta, Magnoliopsida, Solanales, Solanaceae. The record is from RefSeq and is a predicted model, not a curated record.